RNAcentral lists this ribosomal RNA (510 nucleotides) under uncultured Glomus. RNAcentral's name for it is "SSU rRNA". It matches the Rfam family "Eukaryotic small subunit ribosomal RNA", at positions 569 to 1078 of the family's 1831-position model. Lineage: Eukaryota; Fungi; Glomeromycota; Glomeromycetes; Glomerales; Glomeraceae. The record is from RNAcentral.
AGCAGCCGCGGUAAUUCCAGCUCCAAUAGCGUAUAUUAAAGUUGUUGCAGUUAAAAAGCUCGUAGUUGAACUUCGGGGUUUACCCAUUGGUCAGGCUUAAUUGUCUGUACUGGUGAGAUAAAUCUCUACCUUCUGAGGAACUUUCAUGUCAUUAAUUUGGUGUGAUUGGAAAUCAGGACUGUUACUUUGAAAAAAUUAGAGUGUUUAAAGCAGGCUAACGUCUGAAUACAUUAGCAUGGAAUAAUGAAAUAGGACGGCUUGAUUCUAUUUCGUUGGUUUCUAGGAUCACCGUAAUGAUUAAUAGGGAUAGUUGGGGGCAUUAGUAUUCAAUUGUCAGAGGUGAAAUUCUUGGAUUUAUUGAAGACUAACUACUGCGAAAGCAUUUGCCAAGGAUGUUUUCAUUAAUCAAGAACGAAAGUUAGGGGAUCGAAGACGAUCAGAUACCGUCGUAGUCUUAACCAUAAACUAUGCCGACUAGGGAUCGGACGAAGUUAAUUUUAUAAUGACGCG